UUCUGUUUAUCCUGGAAAGAGAACUCACAAGGUUUCUAAAAGAUUGAAGAAAGGGUGAACUUGGAAGUUCUGUACUUGAUCAAGCUAUUUGAAAUCACUGAACUGUUUAAUUGUUGUUUUUCCUUUUCCAAAUUUGGAAGACACCCUCUGGACACCCUCAAGGAGUUGCAUACAUGGAUAAUUAGGACAAAUGUAUGGCUCUUCAUCUCCUGUUUUUACAACCUUUUUGAAUAUCAUGUGGAAAGAGUGAUUUAUUGCAAUGAGUAUUAGCAGUGUGAGGAUGAUAAGCUUGUAUUUGGACCAGGGACCACCGUCACAGUUGUACCAAGCAGUCCAAAACAUUCUGUCCCACAAGUCGUUGUGAUGAAAUCAAAGAAACUGGAAGAAGGAGGCAGCACUGGGAAAGCAGCUUGUUUGGCAAGGAAUUUCAGUACAAAGAACAUCAGCUUGGAGAUGUCCUCUGAUGAGGUCGUGUAUGAACAGAGCACACCCAUUCUGGCGUCAGAGGGGCUGUACAGUGCUAUGAAGGUGGUCAGUGUGACAAAAGACACAGAGGUGACCUGCAAGGCCCAUUUGGACAUUGGCACCAUUACAGCAUUGUCAGAAAAGGAGGCUGACGAACCCGUAACGAGGACCAGUAACAGGGUUUGCAACAGCACAGACACCUCUGCCCAAGGUACCACAGUGCAGAGAGUGAACAUGCUGUCUGUGGCUGUGCUGGGUUUGAGAGUCCUGCUGGCAAAAAGCAUCGCCUUCAAUACACUCAUGAGUAUCAAGCUGUUUCUUUUCUGA
Molecule: non-coding RNA, 792 nt
Organism: Manacus vitellinus (golden-collared manakin)
Lineage: Eukaryota; Metazoa; Chordata; Aves; Passeriformes; Pipridae
Source: the annotation of a RefSeq genome assembly